Molecule: long non-coding RNA, 595 nt
Organism: Pyrus x bretschneideri (Chinese white pear)
Lineage: Eukaryota; Viridiplantae; Streptophyta; Magnoliopsida; Rosales; Rosaceae
Exons: 3
Source: RefSeq, a predicted model, not a curated record
UUCUCUCCUUCAUCCUCUCUCUUCCUUCCCCGUCACUCUCCUUCCCUUAUCCUUUCUCUCCUUCUUCUCUUUCAGGCAACAGCGCCGCCUUCCACUUGUCACCCAAGACCGUCAAAUACCUCCAUAAUCCUCUUCCCAUCCUCCUUCCGAUCCUCAAGUUAGUUUCUACAAAUUCAUAGCCAAAUUUCUUCAAUUUCAGAUCUAAGAAACAUAUGAUUUUGUUCGGGUUUUGUGUGUUUUGCAGGUGUGAGAGCGGCGUACGGGACGACGAAGAGAGGAGUAGCAGUAGCGUCGAUGGAUGAUGAGGCCCGAGCUGGUGAUGAAGCCGAUCGUUUCUCUCGACGAUUUGUGAUGUUGUCAUUAUCCUUCUGAAAAUGACAAUCAGUAUGGUAACAACCAUUAAUAAGAGAGGAAUUACUUCUGAACAUAAUUUCAGUGAUAACUCUACUACACCAGUCACCAGCAUCAGCUCGUUCUCGAGCGAUAAUCUGUGCCUGCACCCCUGAUGAAAGCUUUGCGCCUGAUAGGAUAAAAAGAAGUUUAGUGAGAGCCUUACCCUUCGAAAAUUGCUUGAAUAAUCCUAGGACUGUAUAAA